AUUGACAUGGCUCAAUGGUUAAGAGCUCUGACUGCUCUUCCAGAGAUCCUGAGUUCAAUUCCCAGCAACCACA
This 73-nucleotide transfer RNA is filed under the name Mus musculus (house mouse). Its description in RNAcentral is "tRNA-Ser". Lineage: Eukaryota; Metazoa; Chordata; Mammalia; Rodentia; Muridae. The record is from RNAcentral.